AACGAACGCUGGCGGCAGGCUUAACACAUGCAAGUCGAACGCGUGUAGCAAUACACGAGUGGCGCACGGGUGAGUAACGCGUGGAUAUCUGCCUUUUGGUUCGGAAUAACCCCGGGAAACUGGGGCUAAUACCGGAUGGUUCCUUCGGGAUAAAGAUUUAUCGCCAAAAGAUGAGUCCGCGUACGAUUAGCUAGUUGGUGAGGUAAUGGCUCACCAAGGCGACGAUCGUUAGCUGGUCUGAGAGGACGAUCAGCCACACUGGGACUGAGACACGGCCCAGACUCCUACGGGAGGCAGCAGUGGGGAAUAUUGGACAAUGGGGGCAACCCUGAUCCAGCCAUGCCGCGUGAGUGAUGAAGGCCUUCGGGUUGUAAAGCUCUUUUGGCGGGGACGAUGAUGACGGUACCCGCAGAAUAAGCCCCGGCUAACUUCGUGCCAGCAGCCGCAGUAA
This 451-nucleotide ribosomal RNA is filed under the name uncultured bacterium. RNAcentral describes it as "partial 16S ribosomal RNA". It matches the Rfam family "Bacterial small subunit ribosomal RNA", at positions 29 to 523 of the family's 1533-position model. The record is from RNAcentral.